RNAcentral lists this ribosomal RNA (253 nucleotides) under uncultured bacterium. Its description in RNAcentral is "partial 16S ribosomal RNA". It matches the Rfam family "Bacterial small subunit ribosomal RNA", at positions 524 to 776 of the family's 1533-position model. The record is from RNAcentral.
UACGAAGGGGGCUAGCGUUGCUCGGAAUCACUGGGCGUAAAGCGCACGUAGGCGGCUUCUUAAGUCAGGGGUGAAAUCCUGGAGCUCAACUCCAGAACUGCCCUUGAUACUGAGGAGCUUGAGUCCGGGAGAGGUGAGUGGAACUGCGAGUGUAGAGGUGAAAUUCGUAGAUAUUCGCAAGAACACCAGUGGCGAAGGCGGCUCACUGGCCCGGUACUGACGCUGAGGUGCGAAAGCGUGGGGAGCGAACAGG